UGCGUAGGUGGUUAUAUUAGUCGCUCGUUAAAUCCCGAGGCUUAACCUCGGAACUGCGGGCGAAACGGUAUAACUAGAGGGAGUGAGAGGUGAAUGGAACUCAUGGUGUAGGGGUGAAAUCCGUUGAUAUCAUGGGGAACACCGAAAGCGAAGGCAAUUCACUGGCACUUUCCUGACACUCAAGCACGAAAGCGUGGGUAGCGAACG
RNAcentral lists this ribosomal RNA (207 nucleotides) under uncultured bacterium. RNAcentral's name for it is "partial 16S ribosomal RNA". It matches the Rfam family "Bacterial small subunit ribosomal RNA", at positions 568 to 774 of the family's 1533-position model. The record is from RNAcentral.